This 266-nucleotide ribosomal RNA is filed under the name uncultured bacterium. RNAcentral's name for it is "partial 16S ribosomal RNA". It matches the Rfam family "Bacterial small subunit ribosomal RNA", at positions 793 to 1055 of the family's 1533-position model. The record is from RNAcentral.
GUCCAUGCCGUAAACGUUGGGCACUAGGUGUGGGGGACAUUCCACGUUUUCCGCGCCGUAGCUAACGCAUUAAGUGCCCCGCCUGGGGGAGUACGGCCGCAAGGCUAAAACUCAAAGGAAUUGACGGGGGCCCGCACAAGCGGCGGAGCAUGCGGAUUAAUUCGAUGCAACGCGAAGAACCUUACCAAGGCUUGACAUGAACCGGAAACACCUGGAAACAGGUGCCCCCGCUUGCGGUCGGUUUACAGGUGGUGCAUGGUUGUCGU